This 466-nucleotide ribosomal RNA is filed under the name Microbacterium sp. RNAcentral's name for it is "bacterial SSU rRNA". It matches the Rfam family "Bacterial small subunit ribosomal RNA", at positions 395 to 871 of the family's 1533-position model. Lineage: Bacteria; Bacillati; Actinomycetota; Actinomycetes; Micrococcales; Microbacteriaceae. The record is from RNAcentral.
CGCCGCGUGAGGGACGACGGCCUUCGGGUUGUAAACCUCUUUUAGCAGGGAAGAAGCGAAAGUGACGGUACCUGCAGAAAAAGCACCGGCUAACUACGUGCCAGCAGCCGCGGUAAUACGUAGGGUGCAAGCGUUAUCCGGAAUUAUUGGGCGUAAAGAGCUCGUAGGCGGUUUGUCACGUCUGCUGUGAAAACUGGAGGCUCAACCUCCAGCCUGCAGUGGGUACGGGCAGACUAGAGUGCGGUAGGGGAGAUUGGAAUUCCUGGUGUAGCGGUGGAAUGCGCAGAUAUCAGGAGGAACACCGAUGGCGAAGGCAGAUCUCUGGGCCGUAACUGACGCUGAGGAGCGAAAGGGUGGGGAGCAAACAGGCUUAGAUACCCUGGUAGUCCACCCCGUAAACGUUGGGAACUAGUUGUGGGGUCCAUUCCACGGAUUCCGUGACGCAGCUAACGCAUUAAGUUCCCCG